RNAcentral lists this ribosomal RNA (496 nucleotides) under uncultured bacterium. Its description in RNAcentral is "partial 16S ribosomal RNA". It matches the Rfam family "Bacterial small subunit ribosomal RNA", at positions 29 to 507 of the family's 1533-position model. The record is from RNAcentral.
AUGAACGCUGGCGGCGUGCCUAAUACAUGCAAGUCGAGCGAACAGACGAGGAGCUUGCUCCUCUGACGUUAGCGGCGGACGGGUGAGUAACGCGUGGAUAACCUACCUAUAAGACUGGGAUAACUUCGGGAAACCGGAGCUAAUACCGGAUAACAUGUUGAACCGCAUGGUUCAACAGUGAAAGACGGUCUUGCUGUCACUUAUAGAUGGAUCCGCGCCGCAUUAGCUAGUUGGUAAGGUAACGGCUUACCAAGGCAACGAUGCGUAGCCGACCUGAGAGGGUGAUCGGCCACACUGGAACUGAGACACGGUCCAGACUCCUACGGGAGGCAGCAGUAGGGAAUCUUCCGCAAUGGGCGAAAGCCUGACGGAGCAACGCCGCGUGAGUGAAGAAGGUCUUCGGAUCGUAAAACUCUGUUAUUAGGGAAGAACAAAUGUGUAAGUAACUAUGCACGUCUUGACGGUACCUAAUCAGAAAGCCACGGCUAACUACGUG